GACGAACGCUGGCGGCGUGCUUAACACAUGCAAGUCGAACGGAAAGGCCCUGCUUUUGUGGGGUGCUCGAGUGGCGAACGGGUGAGUAACAAGUGAGUAACCUGCCCUUGACUUUGGGAUAACUUCAGGAAACUGGGGCUAAUACCGGCUCGGAGCUCCUGCUGCAUGGUGGGGGUUGGAAAGUUUCGGCGGGUGGGGAUAGACGCGCGGCUUAUCAGCUUGCUGGUGGGGUAGUGGCUUACCCCGGCUUUGGCGGGUAGCCGGCAUGGGAGGGUGACCGCCCUCAUGGGGCCUGCGAGAGGGCCCAGACUCCAAUGGGAGGCAGCAGGGGGGAGUAUGGUACAGUGGGGGGAAGCCUGUGGCAGAAGCGUCGCGGGUGGGAUGACGGCCUUGCGGGGGGAAACCGCGUACGGUUGUGACGAAGCGUGAUUGACGUUAAUGGGUGAAGAAGCACCGGCUAACUACGUG
RNAcentral lists this ribosomal RNA (468 nucleotides) under uncultured bacterium. RNAcentral describes it as "partial 16S ribosomal RNA". It matches the Rfam family "Bacterial small subunit ribosomal RNA", at positions 28 to 507 of the family's 1533-position model. The record is from RNAcentral.